RNAcentral lists this transfer RNA (58 nucleotides) under Loxodonta africana (African savanna elephant). It matches the Rfam family "tRNA", at positions 8 to 63 of the family's 71-position model. Rfam says of the family: Transfer RNA (tRNA) molecules are approximately 80 nucleotides in length. Lineage: Eukaryota; Metazoa; Chordata; Mammalia; Proboscidea; Elephantidae. The record is from Rfam by way of RNAcentral.
UGGCAUAGUGGUUAAAGCUAUCGACUGCUAAUCAAAAGGUUGGUGGUUCGAAACCACC